Molecule: ribosomal RNA, 468 nt
Filed under: uncultured bacterium
Lineage: Bacteria
Description: partial 16S ribosomal RNA
Rfam family: Bacterial small subunit ribosomal RNA
Source: RNAcentral
GACGAACGCUGGCGGCGUGCUUAACACAUGCAAGUCGAACGGAAAGGCCCUGCUUUUGUGGGGUGCUCGAGUGGCGAACGGGUGAGUAACACGUGAGUAACCUGCCCUUGACUUUGGGAUAACUUCAGGAAACUGGGGCUAAUACCGGAUAGGAGCUCCUGCUGCAUGGGGGGGGUUGGAAAGUUUCGGCGGUUGGGGAUGGACUCGCGGCUUAUCAGCUUGUUGGUGGGGUAGUGGCUUACCAAGGCUUUGACGGGUAGCCGGCCUGAGAGGGUGACCGGCCACAUUGGGACUGAGAUACGGCCCAGACUCCUACGGGAGGCAGCAGUGGGGAAUAUUGCACAAGGGGCGGAAGCCUGAUGCAGCAACGCCGCGUGCGGGAUGACGGCCUUCGGGUUGUAGACCGCUUUCGCCUGUGACGAAGCGUGAGUGACGGUAAUGGGUAAAGAAGCACCGGCUAACUACGUG